This 301-nucleotide ribosomal RNA is filed under the name uncultured bacterium. RNAcentral's name for it is "partial 16S ribosomal RNA". It matches the Rfam family "Bacterial small subunit ribosomal RNA", at positions 509 to 809 of the family's 1533-position model. The record is from RNAcentral.
CAGUAGCCGCGGUAAUACGAAGGGUGCAAGCGUUAAUCGGAAUUACUGGGCGUAAAGCGUGCGUAGGCGGUGAGUUAAGUCUGCUGUGAAAUCCCCGGGCUCAACCUGGGAAUGGCAGUGGAUACUGGCUCGCUAGAGUGUGUCAGAGGAUGGUGGAAUUCCCGGUGUAGCGGUGAAAUGCGUAGAGAUCGGGAGGAACAUCAGUGGCGAAGGCGGCCAUCUGGGACAACACUGACGCUGAGGUACGAAAGCGUGGGGAGCAAACAGGAUUAGAUACCCCAGUAGUCCCUGUCUCUUAUAA